RNAcentral lists this unclassified non-coding RNA (203 nucleotides) under Hevea brasiliensis (rubber tree). The record is from RNAcentral. Lineage: Eukaryota; Viridiplantae; Streptophyta; Magnoliopsida; Malpighiales; Euphorbiaceae.
UCUCAUGUAUGUAUCCUUGUGCAAUUAGAUUCGAAGAUUGGAUCUUUGGUGGACCAUUUCUCUUCAAGAUAUUUUCUCAACUUACUUGGGUUCACUUUUCGGAGAUAUCAUUGAGAACCCUUGUGUAUCCACUUUUUCCAUUGUAUAAGCUGUGGCACAUCUUCAUUCUGGCCUAUACCUGACGUGCUAUGAGAAAAGCUAUG